Dermacentor albipictus is the source of this 25881-nucleotide non-coding RNA. Lineage: Eukaryota; Metazoa; Arthropoda; Arachnida; Ixodida; Ixodidae. The record is from RefSeq and is a predicted model, not a curated record.
AUAUAUGCAUCACAGUUAAAAAGAACAAUCUUGUUUACUCUCAUAGGCGUGUAUAUAUCGCCUUCCAGCAAUUUCGAUACUAAAAGAUUAGCGGAUAUUUUGAGUGUUGGUCCCGCCCCAUGGGUUAUCAUAGGAUAUUUCAAUGCACACCAUCCAGCAUGGGGAAGUACAAAGACAAAUGCAAGAGGACGAAGAUUAGCAAGCAUCGCCUACAACUAUGGCCUUACUCUCUUGAACGAUGGUAGCCUCGCCUUUCUUCGAGGCGUGAAAUGCGGCAGCUGCCUCGACCUUGCUUUCGUCACCAACUCUCUCGCCAGAUAUGUGGUUUCCAGAUAUUGAGACACAUGGGAGUGAUCACAUUCCCACCUAUUUGAACAUCAAAUGCUUGUCGUCUAGAUCUGGCCCACGGAAUACCAUUCGGACGAUUCAAUGGGCGAACUUCAAAUCUGAUAUGGAAGAUGCCUGCCGCGAGAGCCUACCCUCUGGGUUAGAGCGAAGAAUUAAAAGUACGAUGCGAAACGCCACUCGCGUGCUGACGAUCUCUUACACGCGAAACGACUUCGACAUAGAAUUAGAGCGACUUCGAGCACUUCGUCGCCGGGCGGAACGUCGAUAUCGACGUACAAAAUCAAUCCAUGACCUUAGGGCAGCCAGGAGGAUUCAAAAGAAGUUUCAGCGUCGAAUGGAUAUAUAAGCGUCGGAACGUUGGUCAACGUUUUGUCACACUCGACCCCCGCAAGCCACUGUCUCACAUUUGGAAAACGGUGCAAGCUCUGCGUUGCCUUCCGGGACAGCGUUUUCCAUUCAAGGCGCUUGCGCUUUUCCAAGGGCGGCAAGACAUUGAUGUCGAAGACUUUUGUGCGUGUAUGGCAGACCAAGCGACACGUCCAGAUCCUCCAGGCCGAGAUGACGUUCCCCAUUCCCGUGAUUGCCGCAUGGACCUUCCUUUUACAAUGGAGGAGCUCGAGGCGGCACUAGCUCUCUGCAGGCGCUCACCGUGUACGGAUCCAGAUGGUAUAUCAUACCGAGCCUUGUGCUAUCUCGGAGAAUCCGCACGGAUAGCAUUGUUGACUCUACAACACCUCAUGGCAGGAGGGAAAUGUCCCUGACGAAUGGAAAGUGAGCCGCCUGGUGCCAAUAUUGAAGUAGGGCAAAUCCCCGCUAGUGCUCACCUCUUAGCGCCCAACAGCGUUGGCUAGCUGUGUAGAAAAGAUAAUGGAACGGAUGAUCCUUGACCGCCUGGAAUGGUACCUUGAACACAAGAUUUAUCCGAAUUCCAUGGCUGGUUUCCAACGUGACCGCUCUUCCCUCGACAAUGUAGUUGAUCUCGUUUCAUAUGUCCAGCACGAAAGGUCCCGAAAACGUUUAUCUGCAGCUUUAUUCUUAGAUGUGAAAGGGGCAUACGAUAACGUAAUACAUAAGGCCAUUCUCGACGCUCUUGUGAUGGUUAGCCUCGGUGGUCGAGUAUUCUUGUGGAUUGCAAGUUACUUAGCUGCAAGGUCAUUAUGUGUUAACUGAAUGGCCCAACGGCGCGACACUAUACCAGCAGGGGCGUUCCUCAAGGCGGUGCUCUCAGCCCGACGCUAUUCGACGUCGCUCUUAUUGGGCUUGCUGAAUACUGGCCAACUACCACCAAAUUUCAACAUACGCAGACAUCUGUGUCUGGACUUCGUCAGUCACACGUCCUCAGAUAUGUGCACGGCUUCAAAGAGCGGCUAUUUUGACAGCGAGCUACUUGUGUGAACAAGGUCUCGGCAUAUCACCAGAAAAAUGCGCCCUAGUGGCAUUUACUCGCAAACCAAUAACGCCUUAUGUCAUCUCAAUGGGCGGACCAUUUCCUAUAUAUGUCAGAGCCCAGAUUUCUUGGCGUAAUUAUCGACAGAGACCUCUGUUGGAGCCCACACGUGGCCUACAUGAAACGGCGCCUGACAGCAACCUCCCAGUUUAACUACUUGACAGGAAAGACGUGGGGGAUGUCAGUUGACACAAUGAUAUGACUCUACAGAGGUCUUUCUCGGUUUUCUAAUAUAUAGUCGACCUGUACUGAACAAAUAUUCGUGUUCUGCAGGCAGCACAAGCUCAAGAACUCAGUCUGCCUUGGUUUGCCCAGAUGAACGUCAACAAAGGCUACUAUUGCGACUGCUCGGGACCAUCCAAUGCAAACUCGCAUCACGGUGGAAGCCCUGAGAACGCACAUCAGACAUUUUGCACGUGCCCGCUAUCGCCACCUUGCAACACUACCUUCAGACAGGCACCAAUCAUUCUCUAAAACACAAGUACAACGACAAACUUCCCUCGGGCUUCACCGCUGCAUCUAAACCAUCGAUACUCCUUGGUGUCUUGUCAGCCCGACAGUCCAUCUCAGCGUACCAGGAAUCGGUAAAAAGUCUAAGCUGUCGUCGCCUGUGCUGAAACAACUCUCUGCUUCUGCACGAGAGGUACGCGGACAGUGCACAUAUUUAUACUGAUGGUUCCACAAACAUCCAAUGUUCGUCCGGUGCUGUGGUCGUCCCAGCAAGAGGUAUUACCAUCAGCUUUAGGUCUGACCACCCAACGACAUCAACAUCUAUGGAACUAGCUGCUCUUCGCGCUGCACUUUGUUUCGUCAAUCGGGAACUAUCUCGACAAUGGUCAAUUUUCGGUGACUCAAACGCAGCCCUACAAUCUGUGCUAUCAGCUCUGCGUCGCGGGGCAUUCGAACAGCUCGUGCUCGAUAUUAGAUGUCCUUUCUCAUGUGAUGUAUGGAGUUUCAGUGGCUGCCAAGUCACUGCGGCGUCAUAGGUAAUGAAGACGCCGAUAAAGUCGCUCGGGCAGCUCUUGAAGACACACAGGAAAAGGCCAUACCACUUUCACGGUCCGACGCAGCCAGCAUACUUCGAGUGCUUGCACGGGAGAUCACGCUCUCUCUGCGGUGCACACUAAGCAGCCAGACCAAUCGGAGCAAUCGUCAACACGACCUGCCCUCCUUGAUGCAUCUCUUUAUUCCAACUGGACUCUGCCGAAGUGAGGCCGCCCUGCUUUAUCGCUUAUGGCUGGUGGUGGCCUUCACGAAAUCUUACUCGUUUCGAAUUGGAAUGGCCGACAACGCUCUCUGCUAUGCCUGUCUUUGCGAGGAGACGCUGGAACAUUCUCUGCGACUGUCCUGAAUAUAAUGUUCAGAGACAGUCCCUGGCGUCCGUUCUAGCGCACCUUGAGAAUAGACUAUUGUCAGUUGCAACUAUUUUCACAUAUCGCCGACAGACAUCGCAGCUGAAGGCGACGAAGGGAUUGCUUCGGUUUAUGAAGGAGACGGGCUUGCGGGCGGCUGUGACAGUGAUGUCACGUACCGCGCAAGAGUGACAGACUAACUAACGAUGUGUGUGCCGUGUUAUGUGCUCCCUUUCUCUUCUCCCCAUCUUUCAUCCCUCAUCCCGCUCCCAUGUGUAGGGUAGCAAACCGGUCAAGCUAAACUGGUUAUUCUCCCUGCCUUCCUUCUCCACAUUUUCCUUCAUUCGUUCCUACCGUCUGCUUUCCAUUGCGGCUAUUCACAAGCAUAUAUCCAGCGGGCGGUUCUGCACAUCUAGUCUCCGGCCGUGUUACGCCUGCGUUUUUCUCGCUACUGGCUUUCAGCUGGGAGACGCAGAUUCGUUAAACUCCCUGCACUACUUCUGACAAGUACCAUCUAUACACUCCACUGGUACUACGGUUGUCUCCUCGUGUGGCGGAUAAGCCCUUUGGCAUUUAAGGUUCCGAACGUCUGCUUUUGAAUGAAGCCGUGUUUUCCCCUGACGGCUAUGGUUAGUGUUCUCUCAGUGCUCCUUUUCUUAAUCCUGUUGCUACACCUUGCCGGUCCCGCAAGUACACGAAGUUUGUGGGCUUCCGAUGAAAUUUGCUCUCGAAUGUAUUUACUAUGCAGACCUUCGAGGUUAGGUUUAUGCUUCGGAAGACUUCCUUCGCCAGAGUUUCCAAAAGGCUUUUGUAUGUCGCUCUCAGAGUAAAACGACGUUGAAUUUCUUCCGUUCCUGGCUAUAUUUCUUAGCUGAUUUCAUUUCCUCACCCGUAAUUUAUUUCGCCUGCUCGGAGUGCCGUAUUUUUCACAAUGCUUUUGUAACUCUACGUAGUGUUCACUUUUGUUGAAGGUUGCCAUCCUAUUCAAUGUUUCCUCCCAGUUUUCUGGUUCCACCCAUCGGGUCCGCAGAAUAGGUUCUCCAGCUACGUCGUGAACUUGUGUUAACGAUUGCUUCUUAGUGAUACCAUCUACUUCAUAUGCUCGGGUAUAUAGUUAUCCAUUAUGCAGUACACAUCCACCGAUCGCUUUCCGCAGUAGACUUGAAAACUACGAGUGAGCCUUUCAGAGAAACCGCCCCCACACGGUGUUUUGUGGAGGAAAUUUCCACUUGGUGAUAGGUCAUAAAUUCAGUUGUUUAUCGACGUAAUGUUGCUUCGACCGCAUUCAAUCCGUUAUUUGUUCUCCUGAAAGUCUUCUUGCAUUGUUGCUGAGCACAUUUAUGUUUGAGCCGAGAAACGCCGAAAAUAGUGUAGAAAACCGAUGUGAAGUCUCCAACAGUUUCGCAGUGUACCUCCUGUUGCGGCAAAUGUGAAAGUUGCUACACAAAGUGUGGCUAUGUCUCCUUUUUUUUUUGUAGUUGCUCCCAGCGCACCGUUGAAACGUAGACCAGCUAUUUCAGACAAUUUGGUCUUCGUUACUCUAUCCUCAAGAGGAGGUACUUCUUACAAGGAUCUGGAAUUGUAUCUUCGCCACACAACGCACUGUCGUAUUUCUUACACGUAUACGCACCAGUGAACCGCGUACUCCACCGUGAAGUUUGUCCAUAUACGUGUCGCACUAAUAGUCAAUGGAUUUCUUCCAUUUACAUGUGAUCGGGUGCUGCUCGUCUUGUGAUACGGGCCCUACCGAUGGCGCCCUUGAAGUCUCAUUGUAUCUUUAUGUUAAUAUAUCUGGUAUUCACCUACUGACGGCACAUUCGCUUGCUUGCUGAAUUUCUGCAAUUUUUCAAUAUACACUUUGUUCUAGCCAAAUGAGGCAGGUGUCGGCGGUAUUUCUUCUGCUUUUAGUGGACCGUAGAACUUGUCCUCCAAUAUUCACGGAACGAAACAUUCACGCAGUUGCUCUCCAAAUAUUCGAGUAACUGCCGAACUUGUCUACUUCAAUGCCUCGUCUUGAGAUCCUUUUCGACGCAUAUCUGAAACGAGAUUCAUCUACUUUCCUUUCAUUGUUAUCCGGCAUUUUGUAACGGCUAUUUGGUCUGUAGCAACUGGGAUCCCUUCCACGAAAUUGUUCACUACAUCUUUCCUACGGUGAUUCCUGGUUAUAUCUGCUCAACCUUUCACUACUAUUGAUGCAUCGCCAUUGUUCUCCUACUCAGUAAUUUUUUUUCUUUAGUCUGUGUUCAGCGGGUGCUUCGUGCAUUUUCUUUCUCCAAUGCAGCAUGAUUGUACAAGCGGUCCGAUACUUUACUGUUGCUCGCAAGUUCUAAUUUGCGAGAUUGACGGCGGUGUUCAUUAGAGCUACUCUGUUCUUUGCCAGGACCAGCAGUGUCUCCGCUGUGAUAUUACCAAGAAUGCUGCACUUGAAUACAACGCCGGGCGUGCAUCCGAGAAGUGUCAGUGCUUACGUUCCGUUUCUUGUUGUCGAUGCGCUCUUCAGUCCUUUAUCUUCCUCGGUAUAUUUUUCCAUAGAUCACUUAUCUUCCUCUGGAAGAGGGUUGUCCCAAGAUUCCGGGUUUUUCCCGUCACUGACUACCGAUAUUGGCUGUUACAUUGCUGGACGUUAAAUUCCAGCCGACCGAAUAUUUUUGCCCUGGCUUGAAGUACUGGUCGCUUCGUGAGCAUUUCACUCGAGUCUUCAUAUGUAUAUGACAGCAGAAUACCGUCGGCCGUGUCCCAGUUCAUUCCUAGAAUACUGGGCUGGCUGGAUCACGUCAGAACGGCACCUUGAUGCGCAUCUCAACUCUAAUUUCUUCACUGUUUGAUCUCCCUUUCCAAAGAUUCAUUGCUGCUCGGCGAAUUUUUUUUUUUGCUUCUACGCACACGCCUUUUGCCUGGUUUAUGAUGUUCCAAGCAUAACUUCAUCAACACAAACUUAAUUACGUUUGCUGUCAUUGCAAGAAUUCCAAAAUUCAUUCACAGUGUAGGUACAUCUGCAUUCAAAUUUCCCCCCGUCUGAAGAUAAUAAUUCAGAAGUCCUGAUCUUAACCACGAGGCGUCAAAUACGUUUAAUUUUCUUGCUAGUCGAUAUUCUCUAAUUUCUCAAUGGCGCGAUAUGGUAGCUAUUGUUCAUUCUUCCGAGCACGCUCAUUCUGCGAUUCCAAGCGUGAAGCAUCUCGCAUCGAACAGUUGUAUUUUUAUCUCGGUACUGAAUUUGUCUAGUGCCUUCGAGAUCGUCUUCUGAUUGCUACUCGUUGAUUUCCACGUUCACUUGAUCUCUCCAUCAUUCUGAACAGUCCUUGUGACUACAUAGUCCACUUUAUGCAUCGUUUCUUUCUGAAGAGUUAAGCCAGUAUUUUCCGCCUCCAAAAAAUUUCAAAAUGCAAGUUUCGUCAGUUUCUGCGACGUCAAGAACCAUGGCGAGUUUCGCAUUUCGCAGUUCUCUUCUACACCACAUGGGUCGGGCACAAUCCAGUCGGAAGUUUUCUAUCUUCCAUUGUAACUUCGUUUGGUAUUCUCACUGGGCGUUCCUCCUCACCUCCACUACUACUAGUGCUGCACUCCCGUUUUCAACUGCAGUCAACAAGCGUACCCAGCGUGCUCUUGCACGACUACGGUCUGCGAUCCAAAAGAUUACUUCGGCCACGAGCAUCACCUGUUCGAGGAGCGUCCUUGGCUGCUUCUACGUUCCCUCGCCAGUGGCGUCCUGCUGGUAGACAGGACUUGCCUCCUCACCCUGCACUACUACUGGUUCUGCACUCGCGUUUUCAACUGCGGUCCACAAGCGUACCCAGCGUGCUCUUGCACGACUCUACCGUCUGCGCUCCAAAAGGUUACUUCGACCACGAGCAUCACCUCUUCCGGUAGCGUCUUUGGCUGCUUCUACGUUCCCUCGCCAGUGGCGUCCUGCUGGUAGACUGGACUUGCCUCCUCGCCCUGCACUACUACUGGUUCUGCACUCCUGUUCAACUGUGGUCCACAAGCGUACCCAGCGUGUUCUUGCACGACUACGGUCUGCGAUCCAAAAGAUUACUUCGGCCACGAGCAUCACCUUUUCCAGGAGCGUCUUGGGCUGCUUCUACGUUCCCUCGCCAGUGGCGUCCUGCUGGUAGACUGGACUUGCCUCCUCACCCUGCACUACUACUGGUUCUGCACUCCUGUUCAACUGUGGUCCACAAGCGUACCCAGCGUGUUCUUGCACGACUACGGUCUGCGAUCCAAAAAAUUACUUCGGCCACGAGCAUCACCUUUUCCAGGAGCGUCUUGAGCUGCUUCUACGUUCCCUCGCCAGUGGCGUCCUGCUGGUAGACUGGAGUUGCCUCCUCACCCUGCACUACUACUGGUUCUGCACUCCUGUUCAACUGCGGUCCACAAGCGUAUUCAGCGUGCUCUUGCACGCCUACGGUCGGCGAUCCAAAAGAUUACUUCGGCCACGAGCAUCACCUUUUCCAGGAGCGUCUUGGGCUGCUUCUACGUUCCCUCGCCAGUGGCGUCCUGCUGGUAGACUGGACUUGCCUCCUCGCCCUGCACUACUACUGGUUCUGCACUCCCGUUUUCAACUGCGGUGCGCAAGCGUACCCAGCGUGCUCUUGCACGACUCUACGGUAUGCGCUUCAAAAGAUUACUUCGACCACGAGCAUCACCUGUUCCGGGAGCGACUACUAUUGCUUCUACAUUCCCUCACCAGUGGCGUCCUGCUGGUAGACUGGACUUGCCUCCUCGCCGUGCACUACUGGUUCUGCACUCCCGUUUUCAACUGCGGUGCGCAAGCGUACCCAGCGUGCUCUUGCACGACUCUACGGUAUGCGCUUCAAAAGAUUACUUCGACCACGAGCAUCACCUGUUCCGGGAGCGACUACUAUUGCUUCUACAUUCCCUCACCAGUGGCGUCCUGCUGGUAGACUGGACUUGCCUCCUCGCCGUGCACUACUGGUUCUGCACUCCCGUUUUCAACUGCGGUGCGCAAGCGUACCCAGCGUGCUCUUGCACGACUCUACGGUAUGCGCUUCAAAAGAUUACUUCGACCACGAGCAUCACCUGUUCCGGGAGCGACUACUAUUGCUUCUACAUUCCCUCACCAGUGGCGUCCUGCUGGUAGACUGGACUUGCCUCCUCGCCGUGCACUACUGGUUCUGCACUCCCGUUUUCAACUGCGGUGCGCAAGCGUACCCAGCGUGCUCUUGCACGACUCUACGGUAUGCGCUUCAAAAGAUUACUUCGACCACGAGCAUCACCUGUUCCGGGAGCGACUACUAUUGCUUCUACAUUCCCUCACCAGUGGCGUCCUGCUGGUAGACUGGACUUGCCUCCUCGCCGUGCACUACUGGUUCUGCACUCCUGUUCAACUGUGGUCCACAAGCGUACCCAGCGUGCUCUUGCACGACUCUACGGUAUGCGCUUCAAAAGAUUACUUCGACCACGAGCAUCACCUGUUCCGGGAGCGACUACUAUUGCUUCUACAUUCCCUCACCAGUUGCGUCCUGCUGGUAGACUGGACUUGCCUCCUCGCCCUGCACUACUGGUUCUGCACUCCUGUUCAACUGCGGUCCACAAGCGUACUCAGCGUGCUCUUGCACGCCUACGGUCGGCGAUCCAAAAGAUUACUUCGGCCACGAGCAUCACCUGUUCCAGGAGCGUCUUGGGCUGCUUCUACGUUCCCUCGCCAGUGGCGUCCUGCUGGUAGACUGGACUUGCCUCCUCGCCCUGCACUACUACUGGUUCUGCACUCCUGUUUACAAUUGCGGUACACAAGAGUACCCAGCGUGCUCUUGACGACUCUACGGUCUGCGCUCCAAAAGGUUACUUCUGCCGCAGGAAUCGCCUGUUCCAGGAGCGGCUGCUACUGCUUCUAUAUUCCCUCGCCAGUGGCGUCUUGCUCGUAGGCUGGACUUGUCUCCUCGCCCUGCACUACUACUGGUUCUGCACUCCUGUUUUAGAUUGCGUUGGGUACCUAGCACGCUCCUGCACGUAGACUAUCCGGUCUGCGCUCCGAAAGAGAUUACUUCCGGCACGAGCAUCACCGUUCCAUGUGCGACUGCUAUUGCUUCUACGUUCUCUCGCCGACGGCGUCCUGCUGGCAGACUGAACUUAGCCUGGCGCCCUUGGACUUAAUUUUGGUUCCCAGUGUUUGCUGUCGCUUGUGGCGCAAGAGAAAUGUUCCAGCACGCCCAUUUACAAGAACAUGCCUGGCUGGCCUUGCCUCACGAGCAGCCAUCUUCAGCCCGAUCGUCCUGCCACGUGCUCUCUACAACAAGCUUCCUCGUGAACGCGUCGUACGCCUGUCUUGGCGGUGUCCUGCACGAUGUCGACGGCGUGUUCAUGCUCUGAAGGACUGCGUGUCGUCACCAUCCCGCGACCGUCUAUCCGAUGUGCUCCUACAGUUCGCUGUUGCCCUUUUCCGCCGGCAUAUUUAACGAGUUUAGUGUAGCAAGCUUUUCUGCUUUGAAAGAGUGGUACGUUGCUCAGCGAAUGGAUGGCGCUUCUAGAAAUCGGGUUAAUACGAAGCAGAUCAGUAAAAAAGGUUUACUUACGUGGACAUCACUCAGUCCUUAAUGACUGUCAACGUUUUCAUGAGCCAAUCUGUAAAUUUUUGGUGGCGAGAGUAAUGGACGUUCAUUGACAUUGUGCACUUUUGUAGUAGUGUGUGCGUGCGUGUGCAUGUCACCUACUGUGUUUUUUUUUCGAUCGAGAAUGUAUAUGGGCUCCGCCGCUAACUGGCGCACUUAGAAUUUUUAUAUUUUGGUAGCAUUUCCAGCGUCACAGUUGCUUCACUUUUCCCAGUUCAUUCCUGUUGAGAGAGAGAAACUUUGUUAGACCAGGCUUCUUGAGGCCAAAGGUGGGUGGCCUAUCCUCAGUCCAGGUAGCCAUGUCUCGCUGCCGUCGCCCGAGCCCUGUUCACCAACCGUAGCUGGCUGUCAGGGUCUUGCGUCACCAGCAGAGCCUCCCACUGGUCUUUCAAUUCUUCCUUCAUAUCCGCUUCUUCCUGCUUGUUAUCGCUUGGUGAUGAUGGCGGUGGUACUUCGCGGUUAUUUCUGCACUCCAGCACCAUAUGGCGCAAGGUGUUGGGCGUGUCCGGCGGGCAGAACUUGCAGUCUCGCCCGUAGGUUCCCGGAUACAUGGCGUGCAGGAGUGUUCCAUGCGGGUAGGUUCCAGCCUGGAGUCUUCUCCAGGUUACCGCUUGCUCCCUACUCAUCGUCUUAUGCGCGGGCGGGUAGCGACGCCUCUGCUUCCUGUAGUGCGCCAGGAUGUCCGAGUACUUCUUGGACAUCCGUUCAUUAUCCUCAUCGCAGUCGUUGGUCCGUGUUCUCUGCGUGUCGGAGAUGGCUCGGCGUGCAUGAUAUCGAGCCGCGGCGUGCGCCGUCUGGUACCCCGCGAGAGACUAGUGUCCCGGCGUCCAGAGGAUUUGUGCCGUUUCUAUCUCGGUGUUGUUCAAGACCUGAAGUGCUGCCUUUCCGAUCCUUCCGUUCACAUACCUCCUGCACGCUUCUUGCGAGUCCUUCACCACGGUAACCAGGGUCUUCUUGCACGUUGCGAUGGCCAGCGCUAUGCCCAGCUCCUCCGCUGUGCUCGCGUCCUUGGCACGUAUGGAUGUGGCUGUAAGUUGUUCGCCCUUCUCGUCGACCACGCUGAUUGCAAAUCGGUCGUAUGUUCUGUACGCAGCUGCGUCCAUGUAUCUCACAUUUUCUUUGUGCUGUUUGUGCGUUCCAGUAUGUGCUUGAGCGCCUGUAUUCUCGCCUGUCUCCUUUCCUUGUCGUACUCGGGAUGAAUGUUUCUGGGAAUGGUACUUAUCUGUAGCUUGUCCCUGAUCUCGUGUGGGAUACGCUGAGGUAGGUGCCUCUCAUCCUCGACUUGGUAGCCCAAAUCUUAGAGCAGGGCUCUUCCCGUUUUUGUUAGCUUUAGUCUCUCCAGUUGGUUGACGUUGUGCGCUUCCACGGGCUCUUCCCACGUGUUGUGAACUACCAUUUUGAGUAGUUUCACUGUGGAUGUGGAAGGGGACAGGCCCAACGCAAUUUUGUAGGAUUUUCUGAUGAGGGCGUUUACUUUGUCUCGUUAACUGUUCAUGUCAACGUAUGGGGUCCCGUAGGUGACGAUGCUCGUGAACAGCGCUUGUAUUAUUCUCGUGCAGUCUUCCUCCUUCAGUCCGUGCCUUUUGCUCGUCACUCUUUUGAUAAGGUGGGUUAUUUGUUGCAUUGUUCUCUGAAUUUUUUCCAACUCUGCUGCCCCGACCCCGUCCUUUUGAAUCAGGAGCCCGAGGAUGCGGAGCCUCGUUACCUGCGGAAUCAUGCCUCCCACCUUUACUUCCGGGUCUGGUAUAUGCUGCGGUUGUCGGCCUCUUGUGCGCUUUCUUAGUACCAAGAGCUGACUUUUCUGGUGCGCACGUCAGUCCACAUGCUUCCAGGUACCUCUCCGUUGUGUCAACAGCUUCUUGCAGAGCGUCUUGCUGUUUACCUGUCGACCCUCCCGUAGUCCACAUGGUGAGGUCGUCAGCAUAUAUUCCGUAACCAAUCCCUUCUAUUUGCUUCAGUUUGGGUAGCGAGCUCAUCGCUAUAUUGAAUAGCAUCGGCGAAAUGACGAAGCCUUGUGGCGUUCCCUUUCGCGGUAUGUCGAAUUUCUCAGAGCGUAAGUUGUCUAUCCCCACUGUGGCUGUCCGUUCUUUCACAAAAGCUUUGAUGUAAUUAUAUAUAUAUUCUUACCGCAGUUACAUACGUUGAGGUGUUGCAGUAUGGCUUCGUGUGACACGUUGUCGAAAGCCCCUUUCACGUCAAGUGCGAGGAUGGCUCUUUUGCUGUGCGUGUCCAGUUUGUCGAUGACUUUUUCUUUGAUAUGCAGUAACACGUCUUGCGUAGACAGGUGAGCUCUAAAUCCGAACAUGGUGUUUGGGACGUGUCCGUUGUCUUCGAGUUGUUCGAUCAUGCGGUUGUGCACCAUGUGCUCAGUUUUCCAGCACACGACGUGAGGGAUAGAGGUCGAAGGUUCUGCACGCUGGUGGGCUUGUUGGGUUUGGGCAUCAUGGAUACCUCGGCAUGUUUCCAUUCCGGUGGUACUUUACUGUUCCCAGCACUCGUUGAUGUAUUUUAAGAGUGUCUACAGAGGGUCCGUCAAAGUUCUGGAGUGUCUUGUUUAUUCUGUCGCACCCCGGUGCCGUGUUGCGGGUGAGCUUGCUCAAGGCCCUCUCAAUAUCUGCUUCUGUGAAGGGCCGAUCCAGUUCUAUAUUUGGGUUGCCUCGAUACUCGUCAAAGUGCGAAUCUACAGUUAUGUUCCGCUCUGUACCGAGGAACUUCUCCUUCACUAUGGUGAUGUCUUUCUCUUUCCCCGGGUGAUUAUGUAUGUCUCUGCACUUUCUGUUUUGCGGCGUUCUUUUUCUCCUUCUUCGAUAGGAGUGUCUUGAGUACCGGCCAUGUGCGCUUGCUGCUUAAGGUCCCUUGAAGCUUGUUACAUGUUUCGCGUCAGUUCUGUUUUUCAAGUUCAGAGUACCCUUGCGUUUCCUUGAUCAGCUUAGAGAUUCGAAUUUUGAGCUUCCGGUUGCAUUUGUUACGCUGCCAGCGUUUCGCGAGUCCCCUCCGCGCCUCCCACAGGUGGAGUAAGCGGGGGUCGGCCACGGGGGUGACUUGCGACAGCUGGAUUGUCUUCGUAUGCUUCUCGGCUCUUUCCACAACUCCUCUGAUCCAUAUUUCUAUGUCGUCUAUCGUAGCGUUAUGCGCGCUCUCGUCUUUGCGAAAGGCCUGCCAGUCUGUGAUCUUGGCUUUUCCAAUCUUCAUUUUCACUUUGUGGUGCGGGAUGAUCGUUUGCGCUACAUAAUGGUCGCUACCCAGAUUCUCGUCCAUGCAGCUCCACUCUACUGUUUGAGUCCAUGUACGAAUGUGAGGUCGGGGCUGGUGUUUCUAGAUACUGUUGCCGAUGCGCGUGGGUGUGUGCGGGUCGUUGAGUAGCGUGAGGUGUUUUUGGGCUACGUUGUGUACAUCUUUUUUCUUUGAGGCCACAUAUCACGAGGCCACACGGGGAGCAUUAAAAUCACCGACUAUCAGUCCGUUACCCUUGCUCAGCUUCUUCACUUCUAGCAUUAGCUUGUCUAGAUCCUUUAGGUAGUCCUUUGGCGGGCUGUACACGUUUAACACAAAAAGGCUUUGCUGUUUUUUCUCGGGUAUGAUUUCGACGAGCGUGUGUUCGAUGCGAUAUUGGAUGUCGCGUCGUUGAGCGUUGAUGGCCUUCUUGGUCAGGAUUGCUGUCCUCGUCUUACCGUCGGUGACGUGAGUUAGGUAACUACUGACCUUGAAGUCUUCAGCUCCGGUUUCUUGUAAGGGUAGAAUGUCCGGGUUAAACUGCGUGCAGAAUUGUACAAGGUUGCUUCUCUUCAGAUAGAAUGACAGUUCCAUUGCCAAAUUUUGAGCCGUGGGUGUUGCUUGUAUGAUGAUGAAAAACGUUUAUUUGCUCUAUUUUGCAGUGAUUUUUGUGGCUUCAGAUGGAAUCUUCCAUCUUCGCUCCAGGGUCGGUUCCCCUAGCCCAGGGCUCCGCUGAGGGUAGCUGCCCUGCGUGCACACCUUAUUAGUCCUUUGACUUUCAGAUGUCGCUGGAUAGCAUCCUCCCACUGUUCCGCACUCGGGUUUUUUAUUAUGGCUAGCCCAUCUGUUUUCUGGCAAGCCCAUGUGGUAUGGUAUAGGGUUGGUUUGUCUCCACACCAUGGGCAUUUGCUCUUACUGCUUGGGGUAGAUUUUGCUUAGCAUGUUUAGGCACGGGAAUGUUCCCGUUUGUAGCUGUCGCCAUGCUACGGCGUCUUCUCUAUUCAGUUGUUUGUGAGGGGGCGGGUAUUUUCGUCUGAUCCCUCUGUAGUAGUUAAGCAUCUCUGAAUAGCUUUGGGCUACCGGCUCGGGUUCCUCAGCGGGGUCGGGAUUGUUGGAUGCUCGGUUUGUUGCGUGCCCUCGAGCUAUCCUAUCCGCCUCCUGAUUGCCGGUAAUGUCGGUAUGUCCCGGCACCCAAACUAUCGUGUGUUUGGCCUGGUUGUUGACGGUUUUGCCACUUGAGCGGAGAAUGCGGAGCGCACUGUGGCUGAUUCUGCCGUUUAUGUAGUUGCGGCAUGCUGCUUGUGAGUCUACCUUUGGAUCGGUAGCCCCUCCGCUGCCGCUAGAGCCACGGCUGCCUCUUCGGCCUCAACUACCGUAAAGUUCCGAAUUGAUGCGCUGGUGAUUUUUUUUAGGUUCGAGUUGAUCACCGUUGCGACUUUGCUUUUCUAGUGGUUUCUGGACGUGCGAAGACGACGACGAAGUGUUUCUAUCAUAGAACGCUUGUACCUUUGUCUCGCUUUGUUUCUUUCGAAACUCUGGGAGCUGCCGCUCCCUUGUUGCGGCAAUGGAUGAAGAAGCCCUCGAAGACCUUCCUGGAGUCAAGCCAUCACGUGGUGUCGCGUCCAGGAAACGUGGAAAUGCGUCAAGUGACACGGACAGCGAGGCAACCGAGUUGUACUCGGACAGCGUCGACUCGUCGGACGACGAUUUCACACUUGUCAUGAGCCGAACCACAAAAAGAAGACUGCUACGGAGGUCAUCGUCGCCAAGUGUCUCCGCCGUGAAGAUGCCUCAGCGCUGGCCGCACACCAUGCUCUUCAUGCCUGUGGACCCAGUGUCCAAUCUUCGACUUCUAAACAGGCAAGUCCUUUCUGCGUUUCUUGAGGGAAUCGCGCCAAACGAGAUAAAGGACGUGAGAAUAAAUGCACGGAAGAAUGUCCUAGCAGUAGAUGUGCUACACCGUAGUGCACUGCAAAGCCUACGGCACGUAACGGAAAUCGACAAAGUACAAGUGCGAUCCAUGAUACCUACAGGCUGCAAUGGCACUGUCGGCGUCAUUUAUGAUGUCGAUAUUUCUAUACCAACCAACGACUUACCUAUAUUAAUAAAGCCAAGUACAGAAGGCACUCUUAUCACGCACAUCACAAGACUUGGCAACACACGUUGCCUGAAGCUGUGGUUUGAGGGAGACAGCCUUCCCUCACACGUCAAAGUUGGCCACGUCCGCCAUCCAGUCCGCCCAUACGUACCGAAACCCCUGCAAUGCUACAAAUGCUGCAAGAUGGGACACGUAAAAGGUGUCUGUAGGAAUAACCUCGUGUGCCCACGGUGCGCCGAAUCUCAUUCAGCAGAUGCCUGCCGCGCAACUGUGUUGAAGUGCCCUAACUGCCAUGGUACCCAUGAGGCCUCAUCCAAUGAUUGCCCGCGGGUGAGGAACGAGCGAGCAGUACUCAAACAUAUGGUACGGGACCAUUCAACACACAGAGAGGCUGCCGCUACUCUCAGGCGACGACGACAUCGGCACCGUGGAGCAGCACGAAGAGUUACGUCUACUGAGAUAUACGCACUCUUCCGGCAAAGCGGCUAUCGUAUCAAUGCCAACUUCCACAAAGACCGACAGUGCGAAAACGAAGACUGGGGCAACACUCUCGCCUCCUGAAGAGUGUCCUACACUUCCACGAGCACAACCUGCAUCGGAGUCGCAUCAAAUUGCGCCGCCCUCAAUGACCUCACGAACCGAGGAUGCGACGACGACUGAGGAUCGCCAAGUCGUAGUGAUGCUAAAGUCACUUAUGGACGCCAUGCGCAUUCUACUGCGCAACAUGAAAACCCCGUCGGCACAGAGCGCACUGCAGGUGCUGGACACCUUGAGUCCGGUGCUUGCGGCUCUAGGGUAAAACCACGGCCCGAGAAUUACCGUCGUUUCAAGAGGAGGUCAAGAAUGCAUUAGUAUUUCAGUGGAACGCCAGAGGGCUUAAGUCACGCAUGUCCGACUUCAGACAGUCUGUAUUUACGCACGAAUUCCCCAUUAUCGUGAUUUGCGAGCCCAACCUGUCAGCUCCCAUCAGACUGUCCGGGUAUGAGUGUUUUAUGUCCUCUACCCACCGAGAGUGCAGCAAGGUCGUUGUGUUUAUACGCCGUGACUUGACUUAUGUACAUCACCUAGUGCCUCCUGACGAAUCAAAUCAAUACGUUUGCUUAACAGUGAAGAAGAAAAAGCUCACGUUCACAAUUCUUGGAGCUUAUCUCCAACAAGCCGUCUAGAUUGUGAGAGCUUACGGGGAAUUUUGACAUCGACUCCACAGCCGUGGGUGCUCACUGGUGACUUUAACGCCCACCAUUACCUAUGGGGAAGCUCCAAAGUGAACUCUGGAGGCAGAACGUUGGUGUCCUUUGCCAAUGAACUCAAAUUUUGCCUGUCAAACGAUAGAAGCCCUACUUAUCUGCGUGGAUCAGCGUAUAGUAGCUGCUUGGACCUUACCUUCGUUUCACGUUCGCUUACGAGAAGAGUGCACUGGUUUUCGGAUUUAGAAACGCGGGAUAGCGACCACAUCCCAACCUAUUUGAAGAUCGUUGACUAGCUCCAAGUCCUCCAGAACCAUCCAGUGCACCGAUUGGCCUAAAUACAAAAUAAUAAUGGAAGACUGUUGUCGUGACGGCACCUCGUAUAACCUACAGGGCGCGAUAAAGGAUGCCAUACAAACAACCACGCAUUUGCUUUCGAAGUGUUCUUCCCGCACCGAUUUCGACAUCGAACUAUCGAAACUUCGAGCAAUUCGCCGUCGCGCGGAGCGAAGAUAUAGACGCACGAAGUCCAUUUAUGAUUUGAGAUUGGCUAGACGAACACAAAAGAAAAUACAGCGUCGCAUGAACAAGCUGGCUUCACGGCAAUGGGUAUCCUUUUGCGAGUCUCUGGAUCCACGAAAACCUUUGUCGCUUAUAUGGAGGACUGUUCGUGGCCUUCGCACAACCUUUGGUCAGCGCCACCCGUUUAAAUCUCUAGCACUCCAUCUACAAUGUAGAGAUAUUGACGUCGCUGAAUCUUUCUGCAGAAAGAUUGCUGGCGAAGCAAAUUCCGAUGGAACGGGUACGGGAACGCUCGACCACCCACCGUUUUCAUGCGAUCCCCGCAUGGAAUGCUCUUUUUCUAUGGAAGAACUAGAAGCUGCGCUGGCUUUGUGCAGGCGUUCUUCAGCGCCAGGACCUGACGGCAUUACAUACCGUGCCCUGUGUAAUCUAGGAGGCCAAGCUCGGAAGGCGCUCUUGCUCCAGUACAACGACUCCUGGCAGACGGGUACGGUUCCGCAAGAGUGGAAGUCAACUCGCCUCAUUUCACUUCUGAAAGCUGGCAAGUCGCCUUUGGACAUUUCCUCAUACCGUCAGAUAGCACUUGCCAGCUGUGUCGGAAAAACAAUGGAAAGAAUGAUUUUAACACGUCUGGAAUGGUACUUAGAGUACUGUGAAAUCUACCCGGAUGCAAUGGCUGGAUUCAGACGUGGCCGUUCGUCAACAGACAACGUUGUUGACUUGAUAACGUUUGUGCAACACCAAAAGGCCUGUAAGCGACUAUCUGCUGCUCUGUUUCUAGACGUUAAAGGGGCUUAUGAUAAUGUCACCCAUGAAGCCAUCCUUGGCACUUUAGAAGCCGUCGGACUUGGUGGUAAGAUGUAUAUGUGGGUGUGCAGCUACUUACAGAGACCAUUCUAUGUCGACACAGAAAAUGGCCCGACAUCCGAGCAUUACGGUAGCCGAGGAGUCCCUCAAGGCGGAGUGCUUAGCCCGACUCUUUUCAACCUUACCCUCUGUGGAUUAGUUGACAACCUGCCAAGCACCGUACGACUUUCCAUCUAUGCGGACGACAUCUGCAUUUGGGCAUCAGGUGUGACACGACUUCAGCUUCGCGCUCGACUUCAGAAGGCUGCCACAAUGACAUCUUGCUACCUUCCUGAACAAGGACUUGAAAUUUCAUGCGGGAAGUGCGCAAUGGUGGCAUUCACGAGAAAGCGAAUAUCUGCUUACGGCGUAUCUAUUGAGGGGCAAAUUAUACCAUACAGCAGAAGUCACAGGUUCUUGGGAGUCGUAAUUGACAGAGACCUAUCUUGGACUCCGCACGUGAAUUACGUGAAAAAGCGGCUGACUGCUAUCUGUCACCUGUUCAGGUUCCUUGCAGGAAAAAGUUGUGGAGUAUCGCUAUGUUACAGCUGUACAUGGCGUUGUUCGUUGGAAUCCUGCGAUACAGCCUGCCUGCAAUAUAUAUCCAACACCUGCAAGACUAACCUGCGUAUGAUUCAGAGUAUUCAAGCCCAUGCCCUUAAGAUAUGUCUUGGCUUACCACGCAGUGCAUCAACAGCUGAAACCAUUGCCCUUGCGCAGGAUUACCCAAUCACGACGCACAUUACCGCUGAGACACUGCGUAUGUAUUUCAGGCAUUGUGCUAGGACCCCUUCCCACCACUUGGCAAGCCUCACUGCUGCAAGGCCCUGCUCGACAUUUAGCGACAUUGUCAGUGCACAUCGUGCGUCGUUUACUUCAGGGUACGCACCUGCGGCCAAGCCAGCGUUUCCUCCGUGGUGUUUGAGCCGUCCACAAGUACAUAUCAUGAUUCCAGGACUAUAGAAGACAGAUCUACCGGCCCCUGCUCUAAAACAGCUGAGCUUACUUCUUUUGCAUGAAAAGUACAGGAACCAUGUGCACAUCUAUACCGAUGGAUCGACUACGUCGUGCAGUUCUGGUGGUGCCGUGGUUAUACCAACGCGAGGAAUGACACUACGCUUCAAGACAUCGCAUGUCACGACCUCAACGGCGGCAGAACUAACGGCCCUGCGUCGAGCACUGGAAUUCAUCGAAUGUGAAAGAGCUAGAAAAUGGGCUGUGUUCUGUGAUUCAAAACCGGCAUUACAGUGCACGCAGUCAGUUCUCCGACACGGAUCCCAUGACCAAUUGACAUAUGAAAUCGCGAAACUUUACUGUCAUGUCCAACAAAAAGGUCACGAGGUCGUUUUUCAAUGGGUACAUGGCCAUUGUGGAAUCAGUGGCAAUGAUUGCGCCGAUAACGCUGCUCGCACAGUACAUCAUGAAGAGCACAGCGUUCCAAUUCCGCUUUCGAGGACAGACGCCGCAAUGCAGCUUCGACACCUGGCACGCAGUCUCACACUGACCGAGUGGAACUCGCCAAACUUACGACUUACACGACUGCAUCGACUAAACCCCUCCCUGCAACUCCGACCUCCACUCGGACUUCCUCGACGUGAAGCUACGCUUCUCUGUCGCCUUUGGUUAGGAGUUGCCUUCACAAAGGCAUACUCUACAUUAAUUGGAAUGACUGACAGCGCAGCAUGCGAGGUCUGUGGCACCGAAGAAAACAUCGACCACCUGCUGUGCCACUGUCCACGAUACACCCCUGAGAGACAAGAACUUGCCAAAGCUUUUCAAAAACUGGACAAUCGGCCGCUUUCUGUGCAGGUGCUGUUGGAACACCGCCCCCAUCGCCCGUCGGCCCAUAAAGCGGUGAAGGCACUUUUGUGCUACUUAAGGACGACGGGCUUGUGCGACCAUCUGUGACUAUUAAUGCAAUUUCUGUAAGGCCACACACGUCAGCGAACUCACCGCAAUUUCCUUCUUUCCUUCUUUCCUUCCCUCUCUUUCCCUGUUAUCUUUGUUUUCCCCUUUCCCAUUCCCCCGGUGUAGGGUAGCAAACCGGACGUUAUUCUGGUUAACUUCCCUGCCUUCUCCUUACUUCUUUCCCUCCUCCUAGUGGUUUCUGUCCUCAGUAUAGGUAGCGGCGUCUACGUACACCGUGUCGUGUCUAGUUGCUAGUGUUUGUACAUACUGUGCUCUUGCUUGUCUUCGGGUCAUGUGUAGGUUCGGGUCCAUAUUGCUGGGUAUCGGUGCUACUUUGAUGGUGUUUCUGUAUUCGUCCGGUAUCGUCUCCGUGCUUUGUCUCCUUUAUGGUAGCUUCACCGCUGUAUCUGCUCAGGAGUCUUCUGCCCGUUGCCGAUAGCUUUAGUCUUUGGAUUUGCGCGAUUAUCUGCGCUUCUUGGAGCUCCUCGCGAGUGUUGUGUAGCCACAGGGCCAGGAGUUUGUCGGUCGAUGUUGACUGCGGUAGGUGGAGCGCCGUCUUGAGGUCUUUCCUCAGGAUUGCGUCCGCUUGUUGCAUUUCGUGCUUCGUACAGUGGCAGUACGGGAGGCUGUACGUCACUCUACUGACCACCAGGCUUCUGACCAAUUUGAGUGUCUGCUUCCUUCAUGCCGUGUCUUUUCCGCGAGACCCGCGUUAUCAUGCGGGCCACUUGGUUGGCUGAAGUUAAGUAGUGUAAGGUGUGGGUACAUCGUUGGUUCGAUUGUAUCCACAUUCCUAAUAUCCUGAUGAGCGUCUUCUCCGCGAUUGGCUGUCCCUCGAGGUGGAUGUUCAACUUCAUGUUUGCAUCCUCUGGGACGGUGCGAUUCUUCUUGCCUCGCCAUACUCUUAGGAGCUCGGACUUCUCCGUUGAGCAGGCUAGACCUCUUGCCUUGACAUAUUCCUUUACGCAUGUCGCAGCUUCUUGUAAUCUUUCUUCCUUUUCCCUGAGUGAGCCUUUGGUGACCCAUACAGCGAUAUCGUCGGCGUACAUGGCGUGGCGUACGCCGUCGAUUUGGUCUAGUUGUUGGGCCAGUCCAAUCAUGGCAACAUUGAACAGGAUGGGUGAGAUUACCGAUCCCUGCGGUGUGCCUUUGUUUGGGGUGUUGAACUUUGUGGAUCUCAGCUCGCCCAGGCCGAUUGUUGCUGUUCUGUUGGACAAAAAUGUCUUGACGUAGCUGUGUAUUUUCAUGCCGCAAUUUAGGUCGUCUAGUCGUGUCAGGAUGGCUUCGUGGCUUACGUUGUCAAAGGCGCCUUUGACGUCCAGUGUCAUGAUGUGCUCUCCGUUGAGCGGGAUAUUGCUCAGUACCUCUUCUCUGAUUUGCAGGAGUACAACUUGGGUCGAGAGCCUAGCUCUGAAACUAAACAUACUGUGGGGUGUACAGCUCGUUUUCUUCCAUAUGAUUUUGUAGCCUCCUCAUAACCACUCUCUCAUAGAUCUUGCUUAGGCAUAAUGUAAGGAAGAUUGGUCUGAGGUUUUCCACUUAAAGUUUCUUUCCUGGUUUCGGGAUUAUGACUUCCGCGUGUUUCCAUUCUUCUGGUACUGUUCCAGCUUGCCAGUGUCCAUUGAGGUAUUCGGUUAGCUUUUCGACUAGCUCGUCUCCGAGGUUGCGGAUGAGCGCGUUUUUGAUCUUGUCCGCACCUGCGGCUGUGUUCUUUGUUGCGCUUCUUAUCGCCGCGUACACCUCUUCCCGGGUGAUGCGUCUAUCCAGCCUUCCAUUUUCUUCUCCUUUGUAGCGCUCUGUGUAGGCUGCUGGGUCGCCGUCGCCGUAGCACUUUUUGCGUAUUUUGUCCAAUAGUUCCGAGUCUGUUCUCUCGUACUGGUGCACCAGUCGCUAUAUGACUUUGUUGUUUUCGGUCUUUGAUUUUGCCGGAUCUAGGAGUGCCUUGAGUAUGCGCCAUGUUUUUGCAGUGCUUGUAGUCAUCUUUCUCUUUAGUUAGCCUCGCCAUCUUGUUCGCUUAGGGUCUGCAUGAUCUUGGCUUCUCUCGCAGGGUACUUAGGCUUCUUGCGAGCAUUAUCUUUCUUCUAGCAUGUGGAUGCGUUUAUUGAAACUUUCUCCCGAUUGAGUCAUUUUGUUUGUAGGGCCUGAAUCUGGUUGUCCAUUUCGCUUUUGAGAGAUUGGUACCCAGUCUGUAUCAUCUGGGUUACCGUGUUUUGCCUGACCUGUGUUACCGUGGACAUUGUGGUUUCCAUCAUGGCGGUCACGCUGGCGUUGAUGCGGUCUUCAAGUGUCUUGAGGUCGUUCUGGGUUAUCACCGCUUGCUUCGACAGUGUUGGUGGCUUUGGUUGUGUUGCUGAGGAUGGUGGGGCCUGAGGAUGGUUGUGGUGCUGAGGGUGAAGGUCGCGGUAGUGGUGUUUGCGAUUGCUGGCUCUUUUCGUAGUUUUAUUUCUUGCAUGAGGUAUUCGAGCUGUUUUUCAGUGCUAGCUUCCUUCUCUUGUGUCUUCUUUUGCUGUUCUAGCUCUCGCUUCAAUUCAUCGUUCCGUCUUCGGAGAAUCAUUAUCGUGUCCUCGUACCUCGAGUGUAUUGUGGUUUGAACGCCAUUAUUUUCCCUCGACGUUGAUUGUGCCCUGUGAUGACGCUGGCCCAGCUUACCUUGCGCUGGGUUCGUGUUCCACGCCCGUUGCCGGUAUCCGGGGGAUGCUCUGUUCUCUUUCCCUCGGUCUCAAUCCCGACUGGGAUCUCGAUCUUUUUGUCUUUUCGGUCUCAUUCGGUGACUGUGGCGAUGGUGACAUGGUCAUGUGCUCGUUGUCGUUGGUAGUUACUACGCUGGCCUGGUACCAGAAUCUUCUGUCUCAAUCUAGACCGCUCCCUGAGUCUCAACGGUGGCGGGGCCGGUUUCAGCUUUCUUCGACAGUCUCUACUCGCCGUUUCAUGGGGCAUUCCGCAGAGCUUACAUUUCGGCUCGCAUUGGUGGUUGUUUGGAUCAGCGUUGUGUUCUCCGCAGUUGUCACAUACUUCGUCAUUUGGAUUAGGGCAGACUUCUUGUCUGUGUCCUAUCUCCCCGCAAUAUCUGCAGUACUGGACUGACUUUCUGUAGGGUCUACAGCGGGUGAGCGUACAUAAACUUUAACGUAGAACGGCACAGGCGGGCCCUCGAAGGUGAUCACUGCCGACGUCGAUCUUCCCAGCAUUCUAGCGUAGAAGAUUUUGCAAUUGUUGGUCGUUACUAGUAGAUCUACUAGCUGCUCGUCGGUGGUGCCUUCCUCUAUUCCGUGAACAACGCCACGUACAAUGCUCGGAAUUGGCUUGAGGUACGGUGUCACUUCGUAUGUCGCGUGUCCUGUUUCGAUGCUUAUUUCCGCUAGUGCGCAGUCCUUCGGUACUUGCCAGAAUUAAGUUUUGUUGCCACUGUGUCUGUAUGAUCACUUUGGCGUAGAGCUCCUGGGGUGUGACUCCGCAUGCUUGGGCUAAUCCUCUUGCUAUCACUCCGCUUUUCCAGUUUGAUACUUUCCCACCGGCUUUAGGUCUGCACACAAUCUUCUAAUGGUUUUCUGGUAGCGGUGGAGUCGUUGGCCAGCGAGGACGUGGCUUGCUUGCGUUGGUUUGGGCCCAUGGCUUUUGAGGAGCUUGUUGCCGUUUUCCAUCAUUCGUGUUCUGCCCUUGCUGUGUUCGUGUGAGGACUCCUUCUGCGUAUUCGACGUUGCAAUGGAUUCUUUCUUCUUCUGAUGUCGCGCUUGUAGCAUCACCCACGGUCCGGUCUUGCAUAGUGUUUUUCCGCUGUUGCUGUCGAACGUCGGCUCCGUGUCGUUCAUCUCUGCUUCAUUAUUUGUUAUUCCUGCUAUGCAGCUCGUUCGGUCAACUUCCAUAACGCUUGGUUGCGGCUACGUUUGAAGAGAGAAAAAACAUUAAAAAGCCGUUGUCGGGUGGCCCGGCGUGCACGCAGAUCUCGAGGCGCGUGGCCCCGGGCAGCGGGAUCGGCAAUCGUGGGUAGGCUUAGCUGAGCACGGCCGUCGCCUUGAAAGUUUCAGGAAUAGUACUUGCGUGGAGAAUAAACUCACGUCGGUGUGCGUGGUCUGUCUGAAUGGCGUUUCUUGAGAUGAGUCGAAUGCUGCGGACAGUCGGACGUUGCGAGGGGGCGAUCCGCAGUAAUUGCAAGCUGAAGUUAAGAGGUUCCUGGUUUUAUGGUUUACUAUCGUCUAGGUACAUCCGCUUUUGGAUCGGUCGAACCGCUGGUUUCUUUGGCUUUGGUCCUUGGUUUGAUCUCGGUACUCGUUUCAGCAUUUAGCGGAUUUAUUCAGGCGUCUUUCUCGUGCCAGAAACGAGGUCUUCACCGUUCUCGGUUCUUCCACGUCGCUCAUCACUGACUCGAAAAGAUCAACAUGCCGCUACAAAAGGACACAAUGUCAAAGAAUGGGAAAGGGGAGGGUGCUUAUUCUCGCCAAAACAUUUCCUGAUUUGCACAUAGUAAUGGGCGUCCAUCUUUAAGAGUGGUUGUUGGUGUGCUUGACUAAUCAAAUGCUUUUAUGGAUCUAGAUGGCCCAACUUAUGUGUUACCUGUCGUUUGUUUAUCGGACAGGGCUAUCCGCUGUCGUCGCUUGUUCACCGCGUAUACAGCGCCUUAGUUUGAUAUUUGUGUGUCAACUAUCACCUGCUCUGCAAGAUCGGUAGGAAUACUGAGGCGCCAUGGCGCCUUUCACCCGACUGUGACGUCGUUGACUGCUGACUGUAUUUCAUAUUACACACAUUUGUGCAAUUUCGUGAUUAAAGUGCACCGUGUGAGCCAUUGUCACAGCGCCUUCGAAGGGGCCACAUGUACUCCCCUUAUGCCAAGUCAUGUGUAAACACGUCUAAACAAGUGACGUGCACCAGCAUGCUCAAAAAAUCUUCAAAAGAAAAUGUGCGCUUUACUUGCAUUUUUUGUGUUGAAGCGAAUUAAGUUUACCAGUGUUUUCCCUGCAAUUUUUUUAUGUACGCUGUUAGUCUUUCCAUUGAUCUUCGAAUGCAUCUGAAUGCGUUUGCUUUGAAGUGUCUGAAUUUGUGCAUGCUACCGCUAUUGUCCUAAUCUUGAUAUAAGGGUGCACACUUGAUUUAUUACGAAUUACUUUCAUUGUUCUCAACCUCUAAUAACCUUACCUCUGCGUUGCUCGAUAACCAAAUAAAAAAUUUGCCCUGUCCUUUGUAAAUGGUUACGUGUGCCGCUUUACUCUGCGUUUUUUUUCGCUGCUUUCAUCCGCUGUGAUGAAAAAGUCGAGCGCACCACGCAUGCGCUAUUGUGCUCAGUCGAAUGCAUUUUUCUUAACCUCGAACGUACACAGCGCAAUGGAGCCUUACUGUGUAGUCUUUUUAUUUUCCAUCUUCAGUUACACGACAGUCCUGCAAUUGCCCCACACAAUACUCACAAUCGGUUUACCAUACGACCAGUGUGGUGAUUUUGACUUGAUUUGCAUCCGCCAUGGUUGCUUAGUGGCUAUGGUAUUUGGCUGCUAAGCGCGAGGUCGCGCUAUCGAAUCCCGGCCACGGCGGCCGCAUUUCGAUGGGUUCGAAGUACGGAAACACCCGUGUACCGCGGUUUAGGUGCCCAUUAAAGCACUCCAGAUUGUGCAAACUUCCGGAGUCUCCCACUGCGGCGUGCAUCAUCAGAUCGUGGUUUUCGCACGUAAAACCUCAUAAUUUUUGUUGGUAUGUGUCAUCUUGGAGGCUUUUUUUUGUCUAACGCAAAUCGUACGUGGACGCAAAGAAAAAACACACCCACACAGCACUCAAUAGUUCACAAUACGACAGCGAUGCACGAAGUAACUAAACAUUGAGGUCAUAUUAGAGGAUGUGACGUGGUAUAUAUAGAUCGUCUUCUAGAAAUGUGUUGUAGUCUCUUCUGUGCGUAUCGAAUCCAUCUGGGAAAGUUCAAUGACUUGCGCGCUUUCUCGUUUACUGAAAACAACUGCCGAAAGCGUUUUUUUUUCAUAUCCCAGCGAAGGUGCUUUACAAGGCUUACCCAUUUCAGAUAAUUUUUACAGCUUGAAGCUAUUUGAACUUUACUGUAUUCAAAGAAGUCUGUUACUGCGCCUUGAAGGAUGCUGUUAUUUUCGGUUUAUUGAUCUAGGAAAACUGUUUGCCGUUUUACAUUUUUUAUACGUCAAAAUAUCAUGAAGCUGAGAAAUUAUCUGUGCUGUGUAAAUUUCGGUAUGUACGUAUUCGCCAUGUAUUCCUGUACAAAUGCGCAAAUGUAUGUUUGUAUGUUAAUGUACUGUGUAUAUGCUCAUGUUUUCAGCAUCUGGGACGCCUCCAGUCAAGUAGCAUUCGAUCGCUUUUAAUUUCGUUUAUUCAACAGUUGUUUUGUGCUGGUUGUACUGAGCAUGCAUUGUAUUAAACUGCACCUUGCCCAAAUCAUCUGUCAAAA